This 464-nucleotide ribosomal RNA is filed under the name uncultured bacterium. RNAcentral's name for it is "partial 16S ribosomal RNA". It matches the Rfam family "Bacterial small subunit ribosomal RNA", at positions 28 to 505 of the family's 1533-position model. The record is from RNAcentral.
GACGAACGCUGGCGGCGUGCUUAACACAUGCAAGUCGAACGGAAAGGCCCAGCUUGCUGGGUACUCGAGUGGCGAACGGGUGAGUAACACGUGGGUGAUCUGCCCUGGACUCUGGGCUAAGCCUGGGCAACUUGGUCUAAUACCUGAUAUGACCUUACAUCGCAUGGUGUUUGGUGGAAAGCUUUUGCGGUUCAGAGUGGGCCCGCGGCCUAUCCGCUUGUUGGGGGGGUAAUGGCCUACCAAGGCGACGCCGGGUAGCCGACCUGAGAGGGUGAUCGACCACACUGGAACAGAGACGAGGCAGAAGCGCCGAAGAGAGGAAGAAGGGGGGAAGAUUGAUGAAGGGGCGCAGGGCGGAGGAAGCAACGCCGCGGGAGGGAUGACGGCUUUGGGGGUGAAAACCGCUUGCACCGGGGACGAGGGGGGAGAGACGAGACCGGGAAAAGAAGCACCGGCAAACCACG